RNAcentral lists this ribosomal RNA (582 nucleotides) under uncultured archaeon. RNAcentral's name for it is "bacterial SSU rRNA". It matches the Rfam family "Archaeal small subunit ribosomal RNA", at positions 1 to 589 of the family's 1478-position model. The record is from RNAcentral.
UUCUGGUUGAUCCUGCCGGAGGCUAUUGCUAUCGGUGUCCGAUUUAGCCAUGCGAGUUGCACGUUUAACGUAGCAAACUGCUCAGUAACACGUGGCCAAACUGCCCUAUGGACUGGGAUAACCUCGGGAAACUGAGGCUAAUCCCGGAUAGCACAUCCGUCCUGGAACUGGAGGAUGUGUGAAACGUUCCGGCGCCAUAGGAUGUGGCUGCGGCCGAUUAGGUAGACGGUGGGGUAACGGCCCACCGUGCCGAUAAUCGGUACGGGUCAUGAGAGUGAGAGCCCGGAGACGGACUCUGAGACACGAGUCCGGGCCCUACGGGGCGCAGCAGGCGCGAAACCUUUACACUGCACGAUAGUGCGAUAGGGGGACACCGAGUGCGAGGGCAUAGAGCCCUCGCUUUUGUAGACCGUAAGGAGGUCUACGAAUAAGGGCUGGGCAAGACCGGUGCCAGCCGCCGCGGUAACACCGGCAGCCCGAGUGAUGGCCGAUAUUAUUGGGCCUAAAGCGUCCGUAGCUGGCCGCGCAAGUUCGUCGGGAAAUCCACUCGCUUAACGAGUGGGCGUCCGGCGAAAACUGUGC